CAUAUGUGAUUCCUACGGGAGGCAGCAGUGGGGAAUAUUGGACAAUGGGCGCAAGCCUGAUCCAGCCAUGCCGCGUGUGUGAAGAAGGCCUUAUGGUUGUAAAGCACUUUAAGCGAGGAGGAGGCUACUUUAGUUAAUACCUAGAGAUAGUGGACGUUACUCGCAGAAUAAGCACCGGCUAACUCUGUGCCAGCAGCCGCGGUAAUACAGAGGGUGCAAGCGUUAAUCGGAUUUACCGGGCGUAAAGCGCGCGUAGGCGGCUAAUUAAGUCAAAUGUGAAAUCCCCGAGCUUAACUUGGGAAUUGCAUUCGAUACUGGUUAGCUAGAGUGUGGGAGAGGAUGGUAGAAUUCCAGGUGUAGCGGUGAAAUGCGUAGAGAUCUGGAGGAAUACCGAUGGCGAAGGCAGCCAUCUGGCCUAACACUGACGCUGAGGUGCGAAAGCAUGGGGAGCAAACAGGAUUAGAUACCCUGGUAGUCCAUGCCGUAAACGAUGUCUACUAGCCGUUGGGGCCUUUGAGGCUUUAGUGGCGCAGCUAACGCGAUAAGUAGACCGCCUGGGGAGUACGGUCGCAAGACUAAAACUCAAAUGAAUUGACGGGGGCCCGCACAAGCGGUGGAGCAUGUGGUUUAAUUCGAUGCAACGCGAAGAACCUUACCUGGCCUUGACAUAGUAAGAACUUUCCAGAGAUGGAUUGGUGCCUUCGGGAACUUACAUACAGGUGCUGCAUGGCUGUCGUCAGCUCGUGUCGUGAGAUGUUGGGUUAAGUCCCGCAACGAGCGCAACCCUUUUCCUUAUUUGCCAGCGAGUAAUGUCGGGAACUUUAAGGAUACUGUCAGUGACAAACUGGAGGAAGGCGGGGACGACGUCAAGUCAUCAUGGCCCUUACGGCCAGGGCUACACACGUGCUACAAUGGUCGGUACAAAGGGUUGCUACCUAGCGAUAGGAUGCUAAUCUCAAAAAGCCGAUCGUAGUCCGGAUUGGAGUCUGCAACUCGACUCCAUGAAGUCGGAAUCGCUAUGCUAUUAGCGGAUCAGAAUGCCGCGGUGAAUACGUCCCGGGCCUUAUACACACCGAUCGUGCCCCCGUU
This 1089-nucleotide ribosomal RNA is filed under the name uncultured Acinetobacter sp. RNAcentral describes it as "bacterial SSU rRNA". It matches the Rfam family "Bacterial small subunit ribosomal RNA", at positions 327 to 1406 of the family's 1533-position model. The record is from RNAcentral. Lineage: Bacteria; Pseudomonadati; Pseudomonadota; Gammaproteobacteria; Moraxellales; Moraxellaceae.